UACAGAGGGUGCGAGCGUUGUCCGGAAUCACUGGGCGUAAAGGGCGCGUAGGUGGCGGCCCAAGUCCAUGGUGAAAGCUCGAUGCUCAACAUCGAGUCGGCCACGGAUACUGGGUUGCUCGAGCACUGUAGGGGCAGAUGGAAUUACCGGUGUAGCGGUGAAAUGCGUAGAGAUCGGUAGGAACACCAGUGGCGAAGGCGGUCUCCUGGAGCUGGCUUGACGCUGAGGCGCGAAAGCUGGGGGAGCGAACGGGG
Molecule: ribosomal RNA, 254 nt
Filed under: uncultured bacterium
Lineage: Bacteria
Description: partial 16S ribosomal RNA
Rfam family: Bacterial small subunit ribosomal RNA
Source: RNAcentral